This 73-nucleotide transfer RNA is filed under the name Candidatus Thorarchaeota archaeon. RNAcentral's name for it is "tRNA-Gln". It matches the Rfam family "tRNA". From Rfam's summary of the family: Transfer RNA (tRNA) molecules are approximately 80 nucleotides in length. Their secondary structure includes four short double-helical elements and three loops (D, anti-codon, and T loops). The record is from RNAcentral. Lineage: Archaea; Promethearchaeati; Candidatus Thorarchaeota. RNAcentral also lists the same sequence under 1 other name.
UGCCCCGUCGUCUAGCGGCCAAGGAUGCCGGGCCUUGGCCCCGGUAACGAGCGUUCGAAUCGCUCCGGGGCAA